GAUGAACGCUGGCGGCGUGCUUAACACAUGCAAGUCGAACGGGAUCGGCUGGAGCUUGCUCCGGCCGUGAGAGUGGCGAACGGGUGAGUAAUGCGUGUCCGACCUGCCCCAUACACCGGAAUAGCUCCUGGAAACGGGUGGUAAUGCCGGAUGCUCCGACAUGACGCAUGUCGUGUCGGGAAAGAUUCAUCGGUAUGGGAUGGGGUCGCGUCCUAUCAGCUUGAUGGCGGGGUAACGGCCCACCAUGGCUUCGACGGGUAGCCGGCCUGAGAGGGCGACCGGCCACAUUGGGACUGAGAUACGGCCCAGACUCCUACGGGAGGCAGCAGUGGGGAAUAUUGCACAAUGGGCGCAAGCCUGAUGCAGCGACGCCGCGUGCGGGAUGACGGCCUUCGGGUUGUAAACCGCUUUUGACUGGGAGCAAGCC
Molecule: ribosomal RNA, 427 nt
Filed under: uncultured bacterium
Lineage: Bacteria
Description: bacterial SSU rRNA
Rfam family: Bacterial small subunit ribosomal RNA
Source: RNAcentral